Centruroides sculpturatus (bark scorpion) is the source of this 228-nucleotide long non-coding RNA. RefSeq lists it as uncharacterized. The transcript is spliced from 2 exons. NCBI's taxonomy places the organism in Eukaryota, Metazoa, Arthropoda, Arachnida, Scorpiones, Buthidae. The record is from RefSeq and is a predicted model, not a curated record.
GAUAUAUAUAUAUACUUUAUUAUUAAUUAUUGUAAUCAAACAAUUAGUUUCUUUUUAGAUGAUUACUGCGUUAUAUCAAGGCUUUUAGAAGAUAAGGAUGUUUACUCAGGUGGUUGUCCAUGUCCGGAUGGAACGACUUGUAAAAUCGGUAAAAAUUUCUUCGAUAUCGUUUUAAAGUGUAGAGAAGAUAAAGUAAAACCUACAAAAGAACCAGAAGAGCCAGAAACA